RNAcentral lists this ribosomal RNA (1994 nucleotides) under human oral metagenome. RNAcentral's name for it is "bacterial LSU rRNA". It matches the Rfam family "Bacterial large subunit ribosomal RNA", at positions 3 to 1977 of the family's 2925-position model. The record is from RNAcentral.
UCAAGCGAAUAUAGGUCUAUGGCGGAUGCCUGUUAUGGAGACGCGAGACGAAGAAGGUCGUGAUAAGCUGCGAAAAGCCUUGUGGAGGAGCACAUAUCCGGAGAUACAGGGAUAACCGAAUGGGGUAACCCGCAUACAGCGAUGUAUGCACUGCGACGGCUGAAUAAAAUAGGUCGGCAGGGAGAAACUGUGUGAAGUGAACCAUCUAAGUAACACGGGAAAAGAAAUCAAAAGAGAUUCCGUAAGUAGCGGCGAGCGAAAGCGGAGGAGCCCAAACCGCUUAAAGCGGGGUUGUAGGGCCGCAUGGGGAUGACCCGCAGAGUUAGGGAUAAAACUUCUUUAUAGCGGAAAGAUUUGGGAAAGUCUGACAAAGAGCGUGAAAUCCGCGUACGCGAAAUGAAGGAGACUCUGUGAUGCGGUACCUGAGUACGGCGGGGCACGAGGAACCCUGUUGGAAUCCGGGUCGACCACGAUCCAAGGCUAAAUACUCAGAGCGUCUACCGAUAGUGCACAAGUACCGUGAGGGAAAGGUGAAAAGAACCCCGUUGAGGGGAGUGAAAUAGAACCUGAAACCAUAGACUGACAAGAUGUCACAGCCUGAAAGGGUAGUGGCGUGUCUUUUGUAGAAUAAACCUGCGAGUUGCGGUAUGCAGCGAGGCUAAGAAAUGGUAGUUUCGGAGCCGGAGGGAAACCGAGUCUGAAAAGGGCGAAGAGUUGCAUGCAGCAGACCCGAAGCCAAGGUGAUCUAAUCAUGGGCAGGCUGAAGGCAGGGUGAAACCUGCUGGAGGGCCGAACAGUAAUCUGUUAAAAAAGGUAGUGAUGACCUGUGAUUAGGAGUGAAAGGCUAAACAAACCUGGAGAUAGCUGGCUCUCCCCGAAAUGCCUUUAGGGACAGCCUCAUACAAAGCUUUAGGAGGUAAAGCACUGGCUGGUCUAGGGGGUGUCAAAGCCUACCGAAACCAAUCAAACUCUGAAUGCCUAAAGCCAACGUAUGGGAGUGAGACUGUGUGCGCCAAGGUUCAUAGUCGAGAGGGAAACAGCCCGGACCGGCAUCUAAGGUCCCUAAAUAAUGCUAAGUGUAAAAUGAAGUGCGGAUGCACAGACAGCCAGGAGGUUGGCUUAGAAGCAGCCAUUCCUUAAAAGAGUGCGUAACAGCUCACUGGUCGAGCAUCCGUGCGCAGACAAUGUAACGGGGCUUAAGCAUUAUACCGAAGAUCCGGAAUCAUAUCGUAAGGUAUGAUUGGUAGGGGAGCAUUCCAUUAACUGAAGAAGAAGUACCUGUGAGGGGCUUUGGAGGAGAUGGAAGAGAGAAUGCAGGCAUAAGUAACGAAAAGACGGGUGAGAUUCCCGUCCGCCGAAAACCUAAGGUUUCCAGGGUAAAGGCAAUCUGCCCUGGGUAAGUCGGCCCCUAAGGCCAGGGAGAAAUCCGUAGCCGAUGGGAAUCCGGUUCAUAAUCCGGAACCUGGUUUAUUUUGAAGCCGUGACGCAUGAGGUGAAAUCCGGCCGGAGAACGGUAGUUCCGGUCUAAGCCGUAAGUUGUUGAAGAAGGGGUUAAAUGACUUUCUGAGACGAGCGGUGAAAGCGAGGGGAGAGAAAGUCGAACUGAAGCGGACGUAAUCAAGGUGACGAGAAAGAGCGGCUAAGUGUGGUAAAUCAGACCGUACCGUAAACGGACACACGUAGGUGGGAUGAGAAAUCUAAGGCGCACGAGCGACCUCGCGUUAAGGAACUCGGCAAAAUGCACACGUAACUUCGGAAGAAGUGUGGCUCAUGUUUGAUAAGGAUAAUGAGCGGCAGAAAGCAGGCCCAGGCGACUGUUUAUCAAAAACACAGCCAUCUGCGAACCAGCAAUGGGACGUAUAGGUGGUGACACCUGCCCGGUGCCGGAAGGUUAAGAGGAGCGGUGAGCAGUAAUGCGAAGCUGUCAAUUGAAGCCCCGGUAAACGGCGGCCGUAACUAUAACGGUCCUAAGGUAGCGAAAUUCCUUGUCGGGU